This 468-nucleotide ribosomal RNA is filed under the name uncultured bacterium. RNAcentral describes it as "bacterial SSU rRNA". It matches the Rfam family "Bacterial small subunit ribosomal RNA", at positions 329 to 793 of the family's 1533-position model. The record is from RNAcentral.
UGCCAGACUCCUACGGGAGGCAGCAGUGAGGAAUAUUGGUCAAUGGGAGAGAUCCUGAACCAGCCAAGCCGCGUGAGGGAAGACGGCCCUAUGGGUUGUAAACCUCUUUUGUCGGAGAACAAAACCCGGGACGUGUCCCGGACUGCGUGUGUCCGAAGAAAAAGCAUCGGCUAACUCCGUGCCAGCAGCCGCGGUAAUACGGAGGAUGCGAGCGUUAUCCGGAUUUAUUGGGUUUAAAGGGUGCGUAGGCGGGAUGCCAAGUCAGCGGUAAAAAUGCGGUGCUCAACGCCGUCGAGCCGUUGAAACUGGCGUUCUUGAGUGGGCGAGAAGUAUGCGGAAUGCGUGGUGUAGCGGUGAAAUGCAUAGAUAUCGCGCAGAACUCCGAUUGCGAAGGCAGCAUGCCGGCUCCACACUGACGCUGAGGCACGAAAGCGUGGGUAUCGAACAGGAUUAGAUACCCCGGUACUG